UACGAAGGGGGGCUAGCGUUUGUUCGGAAUUACUGGGCGUAAAGCGCGCGCAGGCGGUCUUCCAAGUCAGUGGUGAAAGCCCCGGAGCUCAACUCCGGAACUGCCAUUUGAAACUGUGAGACUUGAGGAUGAGAGAGGUGAGUGGAAUUCCCAGUGUAGAGGUGAAAUUUCGUAGAUAUCAGGAGGAACACCGGUGGCGAAGGCGGGUCUCUGGACCGAUACUG
RNAcentral lists this ribosomal RNA (224 nucleotides) under uncultured bacterium. Its description in RNAcentral is "partial 16S ribosomal RNA". It matches the Rfam family "Bacterial small subunit ribosomal RNA", at positions 524 to 742 of the family's 1533-position model. The record is from RNAcentral.